AGCCCGGUAUCUCUUCUGCCUCUGUGCUAUAGAGCUCCAUUGUUUUCAAAAACUAUUAAAAACCACAGAGUCACACUGUUACACUGUCACACUGUUACACAGUCACACUGUUACACUGUCACACUGUUACACAGUCACACUGUCACACUGUCACACAGUCACACUGUCACACUGUCACACAGUCACACUGUCACACUGUCACACUGUCACACAGUCACACUGUCACACAGUCACACAGUCACACUGUCACACAGUCACACAGUCACACUGUCACACUGUCACACAGUCACACUGUCACACUGUCACACAGUCACACUGUCACACUGUCACACUGUUACACAGUCACACUGUCACACUGUCACACUGUCACACAGUCACACUGUCACACUGUCACACUGUCACACAGUCACACUGUUACACAGUCACACUGUCACACUGUUACACAGUCACACUGUUACACAGUCACACUGUUACACAGUCACACUGUCACACUGUCACACAGUCACACUGUUACACAGUCACACUGUUACACUGUUACACAGUCACACUGUCUCACACUGUCACACUGUCACACAGUCACACUGUCACACUGUUACACAGUCACACUGUCACACAGUCACACUGUCACACAGUCACACUGUCACACUGUUACACAGUCACACUGUCACACUGUCACACUGUCACACAGUCACACUGUCACACAGUCACACUGUCACACAGUCACACUGUUACACAGUCACACUGUCACACUGUUACACAGUCACACUGUUACACAGUCACACUGUCACACUGUCACACUGUCACACUGUCACACAGUCACACUGUUACACUGUCACACUGUUACACAGUCACACUGUUACACUGUUACACAGUCACACUGUCUCACACUGUCACACUGUUACACAGUCACACUGUUACACUGUUACACAGUCACACUGUCUCACACUGUCACACUGUUACACUGUCACACAGUCACACUGUUACACAGUCACACUGUUACACAGUCACACUGUCACACUGUUACACAGUCACACAGUCACACUGUUACACAGUCACACUGUUACACAGUCACACUGUCACACUGUUACACAGUCACACUGUUACACAGUCACACUGUUACACUGUCACACUGUUACACUGUCACACUGUUACACAGUCACACUGUUACACAGUCACACAGUCACACAGUCACACUGUUACACAGUCACACUGUUACACAGUCACACUGUCACACAGUCACACUGUCACACAGUCACACUGUUACACUGUGUGAUGUGUUCCUUCAUUACCAUGAACACACACUGUAGUUUAUUUUGA
This 1317-nucleotide long non-coding RNA is filed under the name Cottoperca gobio. Its description in RNAcentral is "lncRNA (ENSCGOG00000007788.1)". The record is from RNAcentral. Lineage: Eukaryota; Metazoa; Chordata; Actinopteri; Perciformes; Bovichtidae.